CACCCCCACCCCCACCAGCACACCUGGCCAGCCGAAAGCUAUUUUCUUCCCCAGCUCGCGAUCCGUUUUGCGACGAUACUGCGCCAUUCCUUCCCGUCGCUCGAUCGCGAUCCGUUUCCCGACGCCGCUGCGGGGGAUGGCGCCGCCAGCCGCCGGCUGCUGGCCAACCUCUUCAUUCCCGACACCGCAGUUGCCUUCGCCGUCGACCAGGACAGUAAUACCCCUGCCACCGCCGUUGCUCUCAUCGUCGAUCUCGCGCCGACCCUGUAACAAGCGCCCCAGCCCCCAUCCAACCCCUCUUCCCCCACUCUCUGUCGGCAAUUUGCCAUUUUCCCAUCCCGAUCUCGCCUGGGUUUGGAGACAGAUUCACAGCGUUGAAGAUCGGCGGCGCCAGGUUCCCAUCUUUUUCCUUCGCCAUGGAUUUGACUGAAUAAAUGAGACGUGAAGCCCUCCUGCAACAAUUUAUGACUGUGCUUGUCUCCUGAUCGUAUUAUAUUUGGACAACCUACAUCACACACUCUCCCGGAUGAUUGGAUUUCCACACCCCGCACGAGAUUCUAGCAGAAAUCCCUGGUUGAGUGGCUAACAAAUGCGGAUCCAAUUAGAUGCAGGGAUAGAACCGAUAAUUUAAGCUGGGCAAGCACUUAUUACACUGCAGCUGACAGUGCACCAGAUGAAUUUUGCACAUGGAAAUGAAGUCCAUCAGAGAAGGUGACGAUCUAGUGGUGAAAGCUUGCAAAAGAAAUGGGCACAGACAACCAAUAGAAACUCAAACUCUGGCUAACAUAGGCGCUUCUGCUUUGUGGCAUUGAGGCAACACAAGGGCAUUGAGUCAUGAAUUAUAAGAUUUUUGUAUGGUAAAGAGUCUUUCACUUUGGUCGAUAAGAAUUCUGGUUGCUGAGUUCUGGGAAAUGAUUUGCGAAGUCCAGUCAAGAGCAUCUAGGUGGGGAUGUAUACAGGCUUGUACCCAUAUCCUGCCAAAGUGCCAAUAGCAUAGUGCAAUUUUUUCCUUGUGACGAAUCCAGUAUUUGGUGCAACAGAUAUUCACUGUCUGAUCAUAUUAGCCAACUUUUCCUGCAACAUUUAUUUCACUAUUUACUGCCAUGUCAGUUUAGCAAAGCAUAAACACUUCUGUUUUGGAAUGUAAAUCAUUCAGCCAUGUGCAGAAUGAUAAAGAACAUCCACUUCCUACCGACAAA
Long non-coding RNA from Panicum virgatum (switchgrass), 1199 nucleotides. RefSeq lists it as uncharacterized. The record is from RefSeq and is a predicted model, not a curated record. The transcript is spliced from 5 exons. NCBI's taxonomy places the organism in Eukaryota, Viridiplantae, Streptophyta, Magnoliopsida, Poales, Poaceae.